AGAGCUUGCUCAGAUAUGACGAUGGACAUUGCAAAGAGUGGCGAACGGGUGAGUAACACGUGGGAAACCUACCUCUUAGCAGGGGAUAACAUUUGGAAACAGAUGCUAAUACCGUAUAACAAUAGCAACCGCAUGGUUGCUACUUAAAAGAUGGUUCUGCUAUCACUAAGAGAUGGUCCCGCGGUGCAUUAGUUAGUUGGUGAGGUAAUGGCUCACCAAGACGAUGAUGCAUAGCCGAGUUGAGAGACUGAUCGGCCACAAUGGGACUGAGACACGGCCCAUACUCCUACGGGAGGCAGCAGUAGGGAAUCUUCCACAAUGGGCGAAAGCCUGAUGGAGCAACGCCGCGUGUGUGAUGAAGGGUUUCGGCUCGUAAAACACUGUUGUAAGAGAAGAAUGACAUUGAGAGUAACUGUUCAAUGUGUGACGGUAUCUUACCAGAAAGGAACGGCUAAAUACGUGCCAGCAGCCGCGGUAAUACGUAUGUUCCAAGCGUUAUCCGGAUUUAUUGGGCGUAAAGCGAGCGCAGACGGUUAUUUAAGUCUGAAGUGAAAGCCCUCAGCUCAACUGAGGAAUUGCUUUGGAAACUGGAUGACUUGAGUGCAGUAGAGGAAAGUGGAACUCCAUGUGUAGCGGUGAAAUGCGUAGAUAUAUGGAAGAACACCAGUGGCGAAGGCGGCUUUCUGGACUGUAACUGACGUUGAGGCUCGAAAGUGUGGGUAGCAAACAGGAUUAGAUACCCUGGUAGUCCACACCGUAAACGAUGAGUGCUAGGUGUUUGAGGGUUUCCGCCUUAAAUGCC
This 802-nucleotide ribosomal RNA is filed under the name unidentified. Its description in RNAcentral is "bacterial SSU rRNA". It matches the Rfam family "Bacterial small subunit ribosomal RNA", at positions 63 to 847 of the family's 1533-position model. The record is from RNAcentral.